Molecule: ribosomal RNA, 460 nt
Filed under: uncultured bacterium
Lineage: Bacteria
Description: partial 16S ribosomal RNA
Rfam family: Bacterial small subunit ribosomal RNA
Source: RNAcentral
CCUACGGGUGGCAGCAGUGAGGAAUAUUGGUCAAUGGGCGCGAGCCUGAACCAGCCAAGUAGCGUGAAGGAUGACUGCCCUACGGGUGGUAAACUCCUUUUAUAAAGGAAUAAGGUGAGGCACGUGUGCCUUUUUGUAUUUACUUUAUGAUUAAGGAUCGGCUAACUCCGUGCCAGCAGCCGCGGUAAUACGGAGGAUCCGAGCGUUAUCCGGAUUUAUUGGGUUUAAAAGGAGCGUAGAUGGGUUGUUAAGUCAGUUGUGAAAGUUUGCGGCUCAACCGUAAAAUUGCAAUUGAUACUGGCAGCCUUGAGUACAGUUGAGGUAGGCGGAAUUCGUGGUGUAGCGGUGAAAUGCUUAGAUAUCACGAAGAACCCCGAUUGCGAAGGCAGCUUACUAAACUGUGACUGACAUUGAUGCUCGAAAGUGUGGGUAUCAAACAGGAUUAGAUACCCCAGUAGUC